UCAUUGUGGUUUUCUCUGUACCAUUUGUGACGCUGUUUGUCACCAGUCAGUGAAGGCCAGUAGGUGAAACUGGAGUUUUCUUUCCAAUUGUUGAAGACAUUUCAGCAAUCGUCCGUUGUCUGAUGCAACAGAACUUCAGGCGUUUACACAUUUUCACACACAAGGUUUCAUGUGACUGUGGGUGUUCCCGAUGGAGUGAUCCAGGGUGAAAAUGUUCCAACAUUGUAAAUUGCAGACUGCCAUAAUAACAGUUAGGGUCUGUCAAUCGAUAAAAAUUUCCAUAUGAUUAAAAACAGGGCCGUUUCUAGCUAUAAGCGGUAAUAGCAGCCACUUACGGCCCCAGAGCUACCCCACAAAGCAAGGUCGUUUAUUUAUUUAUUACAAUUUUGAUAAUAUAGUGUUUAAUAUACUAAAAGCUGCGAAUGUUUUGGCUCAAUUAGACAGUUGUAGGGAGCCUGAGAGGGAAAGGAGAACGCAACUGCAAGCAGACCGUUGUAGCUAUAUGACACGCUCAGAGGGUUUUUCAUCAUCAUGAAGCAAACCUACAAGUCGGAAAUGGAAAAAGGAAAAAGAACGAGGAGAAACGCAGCCAGACCACUGGUAAGAAAAACUGUCCAGGGGAGUGGACAGUUGGAUGACUGACACCUGGGUUGUCAACGGUCAGGGAUUUGUAGGUGUCACAAAGAUUUUCUAAAGAAGUUCAGGCUACAAAGAGGACUUAAUGUGACUGUUACACAUGAUUCCAGAUUGUUCUGGCACUUCAUAAACGCGUAUAAAUUCUCUGAAUGCACCAUGAGGACGUGAGAAUUGAGGACAGAGGAAACUUACCGAAGAUGCUUCAGCGAGGAAAUACAGGAGCUUCCUAUGCAGAAAAUGUUUUGGUCAAAACACCUGACACAUGACGUGUUCCUGUUUACAUGCACUGUAUAAUGACACUUUUCCACUGCACAUUACGGUUCGACUCGCCUCAACUCUACUCGCUUUACUUUUCUGAGCUUGCAUUUCCACUGCAGUUUAAUGUCCCUCCCUCAACAUGUAUGGGAUUAUAGGCUGAUCGUCUUAGUUGCGCUGCCUCUACUGCCGUGACAUCAUCUUAAACACGACACAAACUGACCAAAACAAUAACAUGACCGCUAGCUGUUAGCAAUUAGCUCAUUGUGCUGCAUAAAGCAGUUGUUGCAUGGUGAUUUUACACAAGUGUAACAGUUAAAUUGGCCUGCUUGUUUUAGAAGCAAGCUUCCAGUAGAUGGUCAACUAAAUAAAGUGAAGCUUUCAAGCAGAGUAUAGAGUUAACUUAACAAAAUGUACAUUUCCUCCGUAAUUCCCCCAAUGUAAAAGCAGAUAAUAGGGACAGUUGAUAUUUUAUAUUGGUGUGUAUAUACAUAGUUUAUAGUUUACAGUAUGUGAUUUUCUCACUGUACUCCCAUACAGUAAAUGUUGAAUUCUUUCCACUGUGUUGACAUUGUUGGGCUCCAUCCUAUGAUGUUUUUUAUAUCUGUUCCACACACAUACGCACUCUUCAAACACCCAUCAAAAUGCUGUUUAUGCAUGACCACAUUAAGCUGCAUUCUUCAAGAAUGCAAGAAACCUAGGUAUGUUAAAUUACUUUCUCUUAAUCCGCUAAUGCAUAAGGAAAUCAAUGUUCUUGUUAACAUGAUGUUUCAGAAUGCUACUUUCUGUU
Molecule: long non-coding RNA, 1681 nt
Organism: Xyrauchen texanus (razorback sucker)
Lineage: Eukaryota; Metazoa; Chordata; Actinopteri; Cypriniformes; Catostomidae
Exons: 4
Source: RefSeq, a predicted model, not a curated record